GGGAAUGUGGCUUAGUGGUAGAGUGCUUGCUUAGCAUGCAUGAAGGCCUGAGUUCGAUUCCCCAGUACCA
Dipodomys ordii (Ord's kangaroo rat) is the source of this 70-nucleotide non-coding RNA. The record is from Rfam. NCBI's taxonomy places the organism in Eukaryota, Metazoa, Chordata, Mammalia, Rodentia, Heteromyidae.